This 459-nucleotide ribosomal RNA is filed under the name uncultured bacterium. RNAcentral describes it as "partial 16S ribosomal RNA". It matches the Rfam family "Bacterial small subunit ribosomal RNA", at positions 338 to 795 of the family's 1533-position model. The record is from RNAcentral.
CCUACGGGUGGCAGCAGUGAGGAAUAUUGGUCAAUGGCCGGAAGGCUGAACCAGCCAAGCCGCGUGAAGGACGAAGGUGCCAAGCAUUGUAAACUUCUUUUGUCAAGGGACAAAAUCAGGCUCGAGAGCCUGACCGAGGGUACUUGAAGAAAAAGCAUCGGCUAACUCCGUGCCAGCAGCCGCGGUAAUACGGAGGAUGCGAGCGUUAUCCGGAUUUAUUGGGUUUAAAGGGUGCGUAGGCGGAAUAUCAAGUCAGCGGUAAAAAUUCGGGGCUCAACCCCGUCGUGCCGUUGAAACUGAUGUUCUUGAGUGGGCGAGAAGUAUGCGGAAUGCGUGGUGUAGCGGUGAAAUGCAUAGAUAUCACGCAGAACUCCGAUUGCGAAGGCAGCAUACCGGCGCCCAACUGACGCUGAAGCACGAAAGCGUGGGUAUCGAACAGGAUUAGAUACCCCAGUAGUC